AUACAUGCAGUCGAGCGGACAGAUGGGAGCUUGCUCCCUGAUGUUAGCGGCGGACGGGUGAGUAACACGUGGGUAACCUGCCUGUAAGACUGGGAUAACUCCGGGAAACCGGGGCUAAUACCGGAUGGUUGUUUGAACCGCAUGGUUCAAACAUAAAAGGUGGCUUCGGCUACCACUUACAGAUGGACCCGCGGCGCAUUAGCUAGUUGGUGAGGUAAUGGCUCACCAAGGCAACGAUGCGUAGCCGACCUGAGAGGGUGAUCGGCCACACUGGGACUGAGACACGGCCCAGACUCCUACGGGAGGCAGCAGUAGGGAAUCUUCCGCAAUGGACGAAAGUCUGACGGAGCAACGCCGCGUGAGUGAUGAAGGUUUUCGGAUCGUAAAGCUCUGUUGUUAGGGAAGAACAAGUACCGUUCGAAUAGGGCGGUACCUUGACGGUACCUAACCAGAAAGCCACGGCUAACUACGUGCCAGCAGCCGCGGUAAUACGUAGGUGGCAAGCGUUGUCCGGAAUUAUUGGGCGUAAAGGGCUCGCAGGCGGUUUCUUAAGUCUGAUGUGAAAGCCCCCGGCUCAACCGGGGAGGGUCAUUGGAAACUGGGGAACUUGAGUGCAGAAGAGGAGAGUGGAAUUCCACGUGUAGCGGUGAAAUGCGUAGAGAUGUGGAGGAACACCAGUGGCGAAGGCGACUCUCUGGUCUGUAACUGACGCUGAGGAGCGAAAGCGUGGGGAGCGAACAGGAUUA
This 746-nucleotide ribosomal RNA is filed under the name Bacillus tequilensis. RNAcentral describes it as "bacterial SSU rRNA". It matches the Rfam family "Bacterial small subunit ribosomal RNA", at positions 51 to 780 of the family's 1533-position model. The record is from RNAcentral. Lineage: Bacteria; Bacillati; Bacillota; Bacilli; Caryophanales; Bacillaceae.